GACGAACGCUGGCGGCGUGCUUAACACAUGCAAGUCGAACGGAAAGGCCCUGCUUUUGUGGGGUGCUCGAAUGGCGAACGGGUGAGUAACACGUGAGUAACCUGCCCUUGACUUUGGGAUAACUUCAGGAAACUGGGGCUAAUACCGGAUAGGCGCUCCUGCUGCAUGGUGGGGGUUGGAAAGUUUCGGCGGUUGGGGAUGGACUCGCGGCUUAUCAGCUUGUUGGUGGGGUAGUGGCUUACCAAGGCUUUGACGGGUAGCCGGCCUGAGAGGGUGACCGGCCACAUUGGGACUGAGAUACGGCCCAGACUCCUACGGGAGGCAGCAGUGGGGAAUAUUGCACAAUGGGCGGAAGCCUGAUGCAGCAACGCCGCGUGCGGGAUGACGGCCUUCGGGUUGUAAACCGCUUUCGCCUGUGACGAAGCGUGAGUGACGGUAAUGGGUAAAGAAGCACCGGCUAACUACGUG
RNAcentral lists this ribosomal RNA (468 nucleotides) under uncultured bacterium. RNAcentral describes it as "partial 16S ribosomal RNA". It matches the Rfam family "Bacterial small subunit ribosomal RNA", at positions 28 to 507 of the family's 1533-position model. The record is from RNAcentral.